This 376-nucleotide ribosomal RNA is filed under the name uncultured organism. Its description in RNAcentral is "partial 16S ribosomal RNA". It matches the Rfam family "Bacterial small subunit ribosomal RNA", at positions 527 to 896 of the family's 1533-position model. The record is from RNAcentral.
GUAGGUGGCAAGCGUUGUCCGGAACUUAUUGGGCGUAAAGCGCGCGCAGGCGGUUCUUUAAGUCUGAUGUGAAAGCCCACGGCUCAACCGUGGAGGGUCAUUGGAAACUGGAGAACUUGAGUACAGAAGAGGAAAGCGGAAUUCCACGUGUAGCGGUGAAAUGCGUAGAGAUGUGGAGGAACACCAGUGGCGAAGGCGGCUUUCUGGUCUGUAACUGACGCUGAGGCGCGAAAGCGUGGGGAGCAAACAGGGAUUAGAUACCCUGGUAGUCCACGCCGUAAACGAUGAGUGCUAAGUGUAGGGGGGUUUCCGGCCCCCUUAGUGCUGCAGCUAACGCAUUAAGCACUCCGCCUGGGGAGUACGGCCGCAAAGGCUG